GUGUCUCUCUCUCCCAGUGGUCGCUGGAUGUUUCUCCUGUUCCUCCGUUUUUUCCCCCCCCCUUUGCAUUUAGUAUCAACAUCACGCUUUUAGAGUAUUUGGCUGCUAUACACGUCCACGUUAUAAGCCACUCUUCGUUGAGCUAUCAAUUGUGGCGAGGUCGCUUCUGAAAAAGAGCCGCAUAGCACAGUGGGGGCCUUACCUGGCAGCAUGAACAAAAAGCCUUUAUAGUUUUAAUUUGUUUUAAUAAUGAGGCUCGCUUCAGAGAAAGAUUUGGGAUGCUGCGCGUCAGAGGCGUCGUUCCAUCGACACCACGCAUCAGGUCCAUCCUCCUCCUCCCGAGUGAGCGUCGUUUUUGUUGUUGUUGUUAUUGGGUGCAAUUGUGAACAACAGCCAUGUGAGACGUGAGUACAUCCUAUCGGCAUAAUCAUUGGUUCACUGCAGCUCAAUGACUCCGUCCGUAAUACAGGUUGUUUUGGGUUAGAUGGCGUAAAUUCUCUGCAUCUUUUGAGGAACGCCAGUGAAGACAACAGCUUCAUCCGCUUAAUUGGGAGUUUCUCCAAUGUUCUUGGUUUGAAGAAAAGUAUCCUCCCCACAGAGAGGUUGGCGAUGGGGCAAUGAAGAGAAAUCCUCGGGAGGACGAGCCAACCGCGGAGCGGCUUCACGAUCUGGCAGGAGGAAGGAGGCGACGGCGACGCGUGGUGGCAUCAACAGCCUUGGCCGCGAUGACCUCUCGACCUUGUCAAAGGGAUCUGAACAAAGAGUUCAGUUCCCCCGGUUGGCCGAGGAGGAGGGACACCCCAGAGGAGCAGAGUUCUCGACUCAGCCAGUGGGCCAAUGUUGGGUCGUUAAAAUGGGUAAUCUUCGUUGUGGCGGUGGCCUGGGUCACGCCAUGAGAACGUGGAACAUCCACCGCUGAACCAGGGCCUCGAGCCGGGCGAUGUGUGAGCCGGAUGAUUGAACAAAUUUGGCCAGAAUUAUUUGUAUCGUCAAUUCUCCCGAGAGCCUUGCACAACGGAAGAGACGCGUUACGAGUGCAGCUUCAGCGGUGCUGCUUGUUGCUGCUCGCUUGGCGUUUUUGGGUCCUUGGGCAAUGUGCUCAGCAACCGUAAUUAAUAGAAUAAUUACUUAGAUUAUUAUACAAAUCCUAAUUAUUGCUUAUGUAUUCAUCCAAGGGAGCCAUACUGUGGACAGUGUCUCUUUGGCAGGAGGGUGCUGCAGCCACUGCUGCAUCGGGUUGUGAUUUGUCAGUUGUUUCCGACAAUUCAUGAUACAUUUCGAUUUAAAGCUUUCGUGACUGCAGGGAUUCAUCUUCUUGGUUAUUUCGGUAAAGUCACGUAGGUAAAGUCACGUAGAACGUGACUUUACCGAAAGAACCAAGAAGAUUAAUUCAUGAUAAGUUUUGUUUAUUAUUCUUAUUAUUAUACCGCGUGGAAGUAAAACGGAGCACCCGGACAAAACGCACGCCUUGCGCGAGGGGGCAACACUCGAUCCCCGUACAGACGGAAUAAACAGAUGGAGAUGAGUGAA
Molecule: non-coding RNA, 1530 nt
Organism: Petromyzon marinus (sea lamprey)
Lineage: Eukaryota; Metazoa; Chordata; Hyperoartia; Petromyzontiformes; Petromyzontidae
Source: RefSeq, a predicted model, not a curated record